UGGGGAAUAUUGCACAAUGGGGAAAGACCCUGAUGCAGCGACGCCGCGUGAGUGAAGAAGUAUUUCGGUAUGUAAAGCUCUAUCAGCAGGGAAGAAAUGACGUACCUGACUAAGAAGCCCCGGCUAACUACGUGCCAGCAGCCGCGGUAAUACGUAGGGGGCAAGCGUUAUCCGGAUUUACUGGGUGUAAAGGGAGCGCAGGCGGCGCGGCAAGUCUGAUGUGAAAGCCCGGGGCUCAACCCCGGACGCAUUGGAAACUGUCGCGCUCGAGUGUCGGAGGGGUAAGUGGAAUUCCUAGUGUAGCGGUGAAAUGCGUAGAUAUUAGGAGGAACACCAGUGGCGAAGGCGGCUUACUGGACGGUAACUGACGUUGAGGCUCGAAAAGCGUGGGGAGCAAACAGGAUUAGAUACCC
RNAcentral lists this ribosomal RNA (413 nucleotides) under uncultured bacterium. RNAcentral's name for it is "bacterial SSU rRNA". It matches the Rfam family "Bacterial small subunit ribosomal RNA", at positions 355 to 787 of the family's 1533-position model. The record is from RNAcentral.